This is a long non-coding RNA of Daphnia magna, 870 nucleotides long. RefSeq lists it as uncharacterized. The transcript has 2 exons. The record is from RefSeq and is a predicted model, not a curated record. NCBI's taxonomy places the organism in Eukaryota, Metazoa, Arthropoda, Branchiopoda, Diplostraca, Daphniidae.
GGAAAAAAAAAAUAAUAUUGAAGAGUUGAGGUUUGUAUUCACGUAAAAGAGUCCGCCCGGAACAGCAGACGGGUAGCCGACCCACUCCAUAUCCAUUGAACAUCAUCUGUUCGAUAUCUGUUCAACCUGCGCAAAUGUGAACAUCUAACAGCUGUGUGCCAUGGGAUGUUGGCCAUCAUUAAAGAGGACCGUUCUUUAGGUAGUAGCUGCUGUAUAGACGUAUCAGCAACAGGAACGAAAUAGAGUGAAAAAAAACAAAAACAAACUACUACCUGUGUUCCACUGAUUGCGCCAUUACCGUUCACCAAAGAAAGCAGCAACGGCGAAUACAUUUAAAUGUGGCUACUUUGAAUGACAGGCUUGAUUUUGUCCCAAUUUCUUUCUGCAUUAACCAAGACCGUUUGAAUGACGAUCAAGUUCGUGUCCCCAUUCUCUCCUUAUGGCAACGGCCCUCUAUCAGCUGGUUUUGCGCUUUUUUCUAAUGAGUUUCUGGCCAACUCUUUAUGAAUAUGUGUGUCAAAAGCCUCAAAGCUCCUGAAAAUCAUCUUGACUUUUCGGGGUUUUAUUUCUUUCUUUUAAUUUUUAUAUAAUUUUUUCUUUUUCAUUUCCUAUUUCUUUCUUCUCCUUUUUAAAAACUGAUUUUAUUUCAUUCCGUUUCAUUAAUUUUCUCGUGAGCCCCAUUCCGCAUGCAUAAUACCGACUUUAGGAUGAAGAGGGGCGGGCAGAUUAUUUUUUCCCCCUCCUUUGUGCAGCUCGUGUUGCAAACGAAAAUUCCCGUUUUUAUGAGUGUUUGACUUGGGUUCACGUUUUCCAUGUUUGCCCACCUCAAUAUCCAUAUCGCAAAAAAAUAUGGAAUAUAUAUAUCCUUGA